AUCACUUCUCAGCCUUUUGGCUAAGAUCAAGUGUAGCAUAAGAUAAAAUGCACAAAUUUUAGGUAUUUAUUUUGAUAAGUUUUGACAAAUAUAUACACCCAGGUAGGCUUUAUCCCCAUCAAGAUAUACAACAUUUCUUCCACCCCAGGUUCUUGUGUUUAAGAUAU
This is a small nuclear RNA of 167 nucleotides. Its record names the gene U2. It matches the Rfam family "U2 spliceosomal RNA". Rfam says of the family: U2 is a small nuclear RNA (snRNA) component of the spliceosome (involved in pre-mRNA splicing). The record is from Ensembl.